Molecule: ribosomal RNA, 800 nt
Filed under: Bacillus sp. MAC17145
Lineage: Bacteria; Bacillati; Bacillota; Bacilli; Caryophanales; Bacillaceae
Description: bacterial SSU rRNA
Rfam family: Bacterial small subunit ribosomal RNA
Source: RNAcentral
GCGUAAAGGGCUCGCAGGCGGUUUCUUAAGUCUGAUGUGAAAGCCCCCGGCUCAACCGGGGAGGGUCAUUGGAAACUGGGGAACUUGAGUGCAGAAGAGGAGAGUGGAAUUCCACGUGUAGCGGUGAAAUGCGUAGAGAUGUGGAGGAACACCAGUGGCGAAGGCGACUCUCUGGUCUGUAACUGACGCUGAGGAGCGAAAGCGUGGGGAGCGAACAGGAUUAGAUACCCUGGUAGUCCACGCCGUAAACGAUGAGUGCUAAGUGUUAGGGGGUUUCCGCCCCUUAGUGCUGCAGCUAACGCAUUAAGCACUCCGCCUGGGGAGUACGGUCGCAAGACUGAAACUCAAAGGAAUUGACGGGGGCCCGCACAAGCGGUGGAGCAUGUGGUUUAAUUCGAAGCAACGCGAAGAACCUUACCAGGUCUUGACAUCCUCUGACAAUCCUAGAGAUAGGACGUCCCCUUCGGGGGCAGAGUGACAGGUGGUGCAUGGUUGUCGUCAGCUCGUGUCGUGAGAUGUUGGGUUAAGUCCCGCAACGAGCGCAACCCUUGAUCUUAGUUGCCAGCAUUCAGUUGGGCACUCUAAGGUGACUGCCGGUGACAAACCGGAGGAAGGUGGGGAUGACGUCAAAUCAUCAUGCCCCUUAUGACCUGGGCUACACACGUGCUACAAUGGACAGAACAAAGGGCAGCGAAACCGCGAGGUUAAGCCAAUCCCACAAAUCUGUUCUCAGUUCGGAUCGCAGUCUGCAACUCGACUGCGUGAAGCUGGAAUCGCUAGUAAUCGCGGAUCAGCAGCCG